UCGGGAAUUUUGGGCAAUGGGGGAAACCCUGACCCAGCAACGCCGCGUGAAGGAUGAAGUAUUUCGGUAUGUAAACUUCGAAAGAAUAGGAAGAAUAAAUGACGGUACUAUUUAUAAGGUCCGGCUAACUACGUGCCAGCAGCCGCGGUAAUACGUAGGGACCAAGCGUUGUUCGGAUUUACUGGGCGUAAAGGGCGCGUAGGCGGCAUGACAAGUCACUUGUGAAGUCUCUGGGCUUAACCCAGAACGGCCAAGUGAUACUGUCGCGCUAGAGUGCAGAAGGGGCAAUCGGAAUUCUUGGUGUAGCGGUGAAAUGCGUAGAUAUCAAGAGGAACACCUGAGGUGAAGACGGGUUGCUGGGCUGACACUGACGCUGAGGCGCGAAAGCCAGGGGAGCAAACGGGAUUAGAUACCCCCGUAGUCCCUGAGCGGGCUGGCAAGGCGCAU
Molecule: ribosomal RNA, 447 nt
Filed under: uncultured bacterium
Lineage: Bacteria
Description: bacterial SSU rRNA
Rfam family: Bacterial small subunit ribosomal RNA
Source: RNAcentral